RNAcentral lists this transfer RNA (72 nucleotides) under Capra hircus (goat). It matches the Rfam family "tRNA". Rfam says of the family: Transfer RNA (tRNA) molecules are approximately 80 nucleotides in length. Their secondary structure includes four short double-helical elements and three loops (D, anti-codon, and T loops). Lineage: Eukaryota; Metazoa; Chordata; Mammalia; Artiodactyla; Bovidae. The record is from Rfam by way of RNAcentral. RNAcentral also lists the same sequence under 1 other name.
UCCCUGGCAGUCCAGUGACUAGGACUCAGCACUUUUAUUGCUAUGACCCAGGUUUAAUCCCUGGUUGGGGAA